Asparagus officinalis (garden asparagus) is the source of this 853-nucleotide long non-coding RNA. RefSeq lists it as uncharacterized. The record is from RefSeq and is a predicted model, not a curated record. NCBI's taxonomy places the organism in Eukaryota, Viridiplantae, Streptophyta, Magnoliopsida, Asparagales, Asparagaceae. The transcript is spliced from 3 exons.
CAUACGAAGUCAAUUAUAUUUUCAUUUUUGGGAAAAAAAAAAGAACUUAGUUGAGAACAAGGGUUCUCGAAAUUUCCCUUUUUCGUUGAAAUUCGUUGCUUGUAAAUACAAGCGGUAGUUUUGAGCAGGGUAAUAUCGCUAAAACGACAAAUGAAGUAAUUGCAAAAGUGCAAGCAUUUAUAGAGUAAUCUUCAGCUAAAAAGAUUGCUUGGAGUUGCUUCUUAGAGAUAAUUAGUUCUUUGGAUGAAUUUAACCGUUGGCUCGUCAGGACACCAAUAGAACAAUGGACCAUUUUAUUCAGAAUUUCACAUUCUAUGCGAAUCAAGAAUCUGGUGCGGUCCUUUUCAAUUUGUGGAAUGUCAAUUCAAAUUAUUUGAAGAUACUUGCAGUAAUGGCUUGCCAAGUCAUCCAGACCAUGAAAUUGCCAGGGAACAAAUGACUGGUUUUGGUGGUGCCGUCAGUUUCAAGGUAGUCAGAGGCUCCGCGGACAAGUUCACUUACUAUCUGAAAAUACCAUAUGUUUCCCACUUCUCUGGAGGUUGUGAGAGUCAAGUAGUCCGACCUACAUACUGGCACAGAUCAAGUGGCUACAAACUGCUGGUAGGCGAAUGAGAUUGAAAACAGCCUGUUUACAUUCAGUUUCGGAGUGGAUGCCUUUUGAGGAUUUGAAGGCCGAUAUCCUUCAAGCACUAGAGGCUGUGCUAUAGCUAACAACGUUAUGAUAAUGAUUUAUGCAGAGAGCCAAUUGUAUUUGUCAACCUGUUUCAGAAAAUAAAUAAGCAAUGGGGUUGUGUGAUACCUUAAGCGCCGGUUUGGGUGUGUUAAAUUUAUGUGAAAGUUGAGGAUUUAUAUC